AUUGAACGCUGGCGGCAGGCCUAACACAUGCAAGUCGAACGGUAACAGGAAGAAGCUUGCUUCUUUGCUGACGAGUGGCGGACGGGUGAGUAAUGUCUGGGAAACUUCCUGAUGGAGGGGGAUAACUACUGGAAACGGUAGCUAAUACCGCAUAACGUCGCAAGACCAAAGAGGGGACCUUCGGGCCUCUUGCCAUCGGAUUUGCCCAGAUGGGAUUAGCUAGUAGGUGGGGUAACGGCUCACCUAGGCGACGAUCCCUAGCUGGUCUGAGAGGAUGACCAGCCACACUGGAACUGAGACACGGUCCAGACUCCUACGGGAGGCAGCAGUGGGGAAUAUUGCACAAUGGGCGCAAGCCUGAUGCAGCCAUGCCGCGUGUAUGAAGAAGGCCUUCGGGUUGUAAAGUACUUUCAGCGGGGAGGAAGGGAGUAAAGUUAAUACCUUUGCUCAUUGACGUUACCCGCAGAAGAAGCACCGGCUAACUCCGUG
This 489-nucleotide ribosomal RNA is filed under the name uncultured bacterium. RNAcentral describes it as "partial 16S ribosomal RNA". It matches the Rfam family "Bacterial small subunit ribosomal RNA", at positions 30 to 507 of the family's 1533-position model. The record is from RNAcentral.